AAUUUCUGUGCAAUGAGAGAAAAGCAUGAAGCAUAGAAGCAGUAAAGUGAAAUAUUCGCUGCUGCCUUUUGAUCAAGUACCUUUAAGUUUUUGUGGCAAUAACACAUGCCUAUUUCAUUGUGGACUUUCCAGAGGGAUUAGGGAAGAUAUUUGAUUUCUUCCAUUGAUGAAUGGAAGGGAUAUACUUUCAUACGAAUUUCAGAUCUCCUAAUUCAAGUUACUUUCCCUUUCGCGCUAAUACAUGCAUUGUUAGCUUAACAGCUUAAACGAUGGGAAUGGAAGGAAUGUUAGCCGAACAGCCUCCUGGCUUUACAUAAAAUGCAUGUUAAGGUCGGAGAUGCCAUUAAAGUAAUAACUGGCCAUGAUAAGGGAAAAAUUGGAGAGUUAACCAAGAUCUUUAAGCAUAACAGCACCAUUGUAGUGAAAGAUAUAAACCCGAAGACUAAGCAUAUGAAGAGCAGAGAAGAGGGUCAAACAGGACAGAUAAUUAAGAUUGAAGCGCCUAUUCACAGCUCAAAUGCGAUGCUUGAUUCUUAAGAACAAGAUGCCACUAGCUGGUUGGGUCAUAAAGUGUUAUAUAAUGGGGAAAAGGUCCGCUACCACGUAAAGACUGGAGAAAUCAUCGACAGUGAUAAAAUCUGGAAGAACUGAAGGUAGCUGAAAAAAAGAAAACUGAAGUCGUCGCCACUGUGUCUUGGACCCUAAACUCAUAACUUCAAUAUCAAAUGUGGCUUCUGGAAAUCUUGAUGUUUUUCUGUCAUCUUCCAUCUUUAUUCUCCAAUUACGUUAAUAAUCUUGAAAGCUUGUCAUUUGUAAAUCCGUUCUUUUUCCUAGCAGUAUAUAUUUCUAUGGAUCUAUGAAUAUCUUGUAUGGCAAACAAAUGUGCAGACUCAAUCCAAUCAGAGAGUUCAUUUCAUGCAUUUCAACAUGGUUGGCAUUCAUCCGAAGCUAAGCAUUAUCUAAAGAGUCCAGAGUAUGGAUGACGAAAACAGCAUAAACUUCAAAGAUUGAUUUCCUUAUGGAAAUAUAUAAAGCUUUAACCAAUUCCACAUUCCACGGAUUCAUUUUUUUUAUUCCUUUCUUGUUUCUUUGGUAUGGCUUUAUCUUGCUAUCCAUUAUUUUGUGGUCCAAGGGGCAAA
Durio zibethinus is the source of this 1139-nucleotide long non-coding RNA. RefSeq lists it as uncharacterized. The record is from RefSeq and is a predicted model, not a curated record. NCBI's taxonomy places the organism in Eukaryota, Viridiplantae, Streptophyta, Magnoliopsida, Malvales, Malvaceae.